Molecule: non-coding RNA, 72 nt
Organism: Phrynosoma platyrhinos (Desert horned lizard)
Lineage: Eukaryota; Metazoa; Chordata; Lepidosauria; Squamata; Phrynosomatidae
Source: the annotation of a GenBank genome assembly
GCUAAUGUAGUGUAGUGGUUUGAGCAUUUGACUAUGACUCUGGUGACAAGGGUUUGAAUCCCUGCUUGGCCA